This 492-nucleotide ribosomal RNA is filed under the name uncultured bacterium. RNAcentral describes it as "partial 16S ribosomal RNA". It matches the Rfam family "Bacterial small subunit ribosomal RNA", at positions 29 to 507 of the family's 1533-position model. The record is from RNAcentral.
AGUGAACGCUGGCGGUAGGCCUAACACAUGCAAGUCGAACGGCAGCACAGUAAGAGCUUGCUCUUACGGGUGGCGAGUGGCGGACGGGUGAGGAAUACAGCGGAAUCUACUUUUUCGUGGGGGAUAACGUAGGGAAACUUACGCUAAUACCUCAUACGACCUACGGGUGAAAGCAGGGGAUCUUCGGACCUUGCGCGAUUGAAUGAGCCGAUGUCGGAUUAGCUAGUUGGCGGGGUAAAGGCCCACCAAGGCGACGAUCCGUAGCUGGUCUGAGAGGAUGAUCAGCCACACUGGAACUGAGACACGGUCCAGACCCCUACGGGAGGCAGAAGUGGGGAAUAUUGGACAAUGGGCGCAGGCCUGAUCCAGCCAUACCGCGUGGGUGAAGAAGGCCUUCGGGUUGUAAAGCCCUUUUGUUGGGAAAGAAAAGCAGCAGGUUAAUACCCCGCUGUUCUGACGGUACCCAAAGAAUAAGCACCGGCUAACUUCGUG